Long non-coding RNA from Mesocricetus auratus (golden hamster), 418 nucleotides. RefSeq lists it as uncharacterized. The record is from RefSeq and is a predicted model, not a curated record. The transcript has 3 exons. NCBI's taxonomy places the organism in Eukaryota, Metazoa, Chordata, Mammalia, Rodentia, Cricetidae.
GUUAAGCACAGGCUGCUUCUUUCAGAUUCUCUUGGAAUUACCGCGAAGCCGCCUUGGACCCUGACUCAGGCUCCUACAAGUCCAGGCCAGCAAGUUCAACCCUAACCUCUGGCUCUAGGUUGAAAAGUCACAGGAAGCACGGCCUGCCUCCCCAGGAUCACUGUGCCUGCCUCCCUUGCAGUGUGUUAAACAACUAAGAAGUCUAUGGUGACAUCACAGUGUGGCUGUGAGAUCCUGAGACUGGGUGGUCAAAGACAGGGUGUACCCGAGGAUAGUGGCAGUGAUGGCAUCCAGGCUGGGGAAGAGCCUGGCUGGACUGCAUGUUCCUGUCUGCAAAGCUUCAGAGCAUAUGGCCAGAAAAAGACAGAUUAUCAGAUGGAAGAGGCUGGGGUUGGUCCUGGGCUUGCAGGCUGGUACA